AUUGAACGCUGGCGGCAGGCCUAACACAUGCAAGUCGAGCGGAUGAAGGGAGCUUGCUCCUGGAUUCAGCGGCGGACGGGUGAGUAAUGCCUAGGAAUCUGCCUGGUAGUGGGGGAUAACGUCCGGAAACGGGCGCCAAUACCGCAUACGUCCUGAGGGAGAAAGUGGGGGAUCUUCGGACCUCACGCUAUCAGAUGAGCCUAGGUCGGAUUAGCUAGUUGGUGGGGUAAAGGCCUACCAAGGCGACGAUCCGUAACUGGUCUGAGAGGAUGAUCAGUCACACUGGAACUGAGACACGGUCCAGACUCCUACGGGAGGCAGCAGUGGGGAAUAUUGGACAAUGGGCGAAAGCCUGAUCCAGCCAUGCCGCGUGUGUGAAGAAGGUCUUCGGAUUGUAAAGCACUUUAAGUUGGGAGGAAGGGCAGUAAGUUAAUACCUUGCUGUUUUGACGUUACCAACAGAAUAAGCACCGGCUAACCUCGUG
This 484-nucleotide ribosomal RNA is filed under the name uncultured bacterium. Its description in RNAcentral is "partial 16S ribosomal RNA". It matches the Rfam family "Bacterial small subunit ribosomal RNA", at positions 30 to 507 of the family's 1533-position model. The record is from RNAcentral.